CAAGGAUGUUAGUUGGGCCAAUGUGCUAGCAGCUGGGGUCACUAUGCCUCUUUAAAAGGCCCCAUGAACUAGGCCCUGGCCCUUUGCAGGCCUAGCCAGAGCAGUGCAGAGCUGGGGGAGGAGUCCAGAAAGGAAAGGCCCAGGGACCGCUCUCCUAAAGCGGAUGUUUCUCCAUGUGUGUCCCUCUCCCCACUUGCUGUGAGAAGCCCUGGACAGCUCUUUCUUGCACCUUCUUCUCCACCCGCCCGAAGCCUGCUCCAUUCAGAUAAGUUCCUGUUGGGGUUGGAGCACAGGCCUGAGGGAGCCUAACCGUCAGCCUUGGAAUCCAGCUGUUCCUCCUCCUGCCCUGUGACCCCAGGCAAGUUCCUUCUCCUCUCAGUGCCUGCCUUCCUGUCGGUAACAUGGGGAGUGAAGGGUGGGGAGGGUAGGAGCAGGGUUGUAGUGAGGACUUCUAGCUCAGAGUACUUAGAGCAGAGCCAAGUGCUCAACAGCAACGAGUAGCUCCUAUUAUUACUAUUAUUAUUGCUGUUAGUCUUAGUGCUCCUUUGUGAAGCCUGAGCACUAGAGUCCUGAUCUUCGGCCCCCCAGGGGGUCUGAGCAGGGAUGAAGACCACCUCCCCUCCUGGCCGGAUCCAAAGCCAGCCUCCCCCAGUCAACCCCCGGGGUGGGUCCCAUGCUGAUUGGACCAGAUAAGGUAGGGGACAGUUUUGGGGGCAGAGGCUGUCCUAUUCCUUCUCCCACCAUGGGCCCCACUCUGGGGAAGAAUCAUAUUGCUCUUUGCUGUAAACAGACAGUUCUUGAAACGGGGGGCGGGGUGUGACAAAGCCUGGCCCUGUGUGUGGUCCACAGAGAGAUGGCGGGCCUCGCUGCCCAAUGCCAGGAACUGUUUGUGCUCUGCAGGCCAGCCUCUCUCCCCGCCCAGCCCCACCUUCCCACGGCCACAUCCACAGCCCCCAGGAGGUGUGCGAGACACCUCCAGGCAGAGGGUGGGGGCCCCUCGGGUCCUGAGGCUGAGGAGGCUGGCCUUCCGCUUCAGGCUGCCAUGUUCUCCAUUUUUUUCUUCAUUUGUCCCUAUGUAUCUGAAACGCACACAUUUCACUGCAAGUUCAGUCUCCUGCCACAGUCCUCAUGGAAAUACAAGAAUUUCUAGACAACAAGAUUUCUAGAUACAAGAUUUCUACCUGGAUACCAUAACUUUGUUCCAUCGCUUCCUGGGACACGUUACUGGGCCCCUUCCAUCAACUUUACCGAGGGGUGCUGUACCUGAUUUCUCUUUCCCAGUUCCUGGCUUCUUCUCCAUCCCCCUCCUGCCCCACCCCAGCCCCCAGCCCAGUGGUCCCAUGGCCUCUCCUUUAUUCCUCACCUCUGCCCUGUGGUCCUGUUUUCUCCCCCGAAGCUGGCCCUGCAGGAGACUUCCUGUUCCCAGGGUCUGGCACAGGCUGACCGUCGCCAGGGGCAGGGGGAGGCCCAGUCUAUGGACCAUUCCUGGGACCUUGACAUCACAACAAGCAAUCUGUGGGCCCUGGUUUUUAAAUGAUCUGUAAUUAAUGCUGUUUUUGUUAUUUAGCACUUUCUCAUCAAAGGGCUCAUUUAGGCCUUGCAAAACCUGACAGAUAAGGCCAAAUUUAAGGCUUCUCUUGGGAGUGGCUCCACCUGGGAGGAGUGCAAAGCUCCAGACUCCUCUGUCCACCUUGGGCUCCUGUGUCAAGUGUGAACUAAUUGCUAUGAAGGAUGGGCAACAGGAAGGGGAGAAGUUCCAUCUUCCGUUUCAGACCUGAGAGGCCUGAAGGCGUUGCCCAUGGCUGUCUCAAAGAUGAGUUCCUUUAUUCGGUUCUGAGGAUGGCCUGACCAUGGGGCCCUGGGGCCCACUGGCUGGAGGAGAGUCAAUAAUGUACCGACAGCACAGCCACAGAUCUGGCCAGACACCCCCUCUCUGAAGAGGCAACUCCCCUGUGCCUGGAGGCGAGCGUGGGUGUGGGAGGCGAGGGCUCAUGCAAUGGCAGGUGCUGAGCCUGCAGCUGAGGACGAGGGCAGAGGGGACUCCGCCCUGUCUCCUCUCCUGAUCUGGUUGGCAGCCGCCAGAAUUUUCGUCUCUGCUUGACCCCAGCCCUUCUUUCUUCCCUCCCCUCUGUGAGUCCUGGAGCUUGGAGAGCCCAGGGCUGGAAGGAGGCAUUGGUACAGGACCGUCUCCUUCCCAACCUGCUGUCUCGGGCUGUUCCCUCUGAUCUCAUCCUCCUUCUGUCCAGCUCAGUACCUCUGAAGCUGGCCGUCCUCCAAGUCUAACCUCAGAUCUCGCCUCCUCCAGGAAGACUUCCCUGAAUCUUGGCGUGGUGCUACCUCCCUUCCCAGAAUUCCUGGGGCAAAUAAAGUUUGUACCAGAAAGCUGCCACAUGCCACGUCCUCCGGUUGUGUGUGGACAUCAUUGAGACCGAUCACAAAAGCUCUGGCUCUCUCUCCUUCUGGACACUUGGAAGAGGUGUACAUCCCCGCCCACCUGAAUUCAGGCGGGGCCACGUGACUGGCCAUGUGAGUGGAAAUGGGUUGGUGAAAAGAGCCAGGUUUAACCUUGGUGUCUCCUGCCUCUGUGGAAGCCUGAAUCCCCUCGGCUUAUGGGGUGGAGAGCAGCUGGUCUCCUUCAGAUGUGUCCCCUGACCCUAUCCUGGGGAAACUGAGGCAGGAGGCAUCUGUUCUCUGUGGGAGCAUCCUGGAGAACACGAACCCUGCAAGCAGCAGGGCUUGCUUCUGGCUGGGUUAUGAUGUUUGGCUACCAGUUACUAACGCCCCCUGGGGCUGGCUUCAGGGAGCUCAGCUUAAGGAAUCGAGGGUGUCUUAAACGCAGGACGAGAGCCUUUGAAAUCUCCCCAACACUUUCUAAACAAAUAGAUACGUUUUUACCAAUGUGAAAUCAAAC
This 2911-nucleotide long non-coding RNA is filed under the name Equus caballus (horse). RNAcentral describes it as "lncRNA (ENSECAG00000051246.1)". The record is from RNAcentral. Lineage: Eukaryota; Metazoa; Chordata; Mammalia; Perissodactyla; Equidae.